CAGUCGCCACGGUAAUACGAAGGGGGCUAGCGUUGUUCGGAUUUACUGGGCGUAAAGGGCGCGUAGGCGGCUAUUCAAGUCAGGGGUGAAAGCCCGGGGCUCAACCCCGGAACUGCCUUUGAAACUAGAUAGCUUGAAUCUUGGAGAGGCGAGUGGAAUUCCGAGUGUAGAGGUGAAAUUCGUAGAUAUUCGGAAGAACACCAGUGGCGAAGGCGACUCGCUGGACAAGUAUUGACGCUGAGGUGCGAAAGCGUGGGGAGCAAACAGGAUUAGAUACCCCAGUAGUCCUUGUCUCUUAUAC
Molecule: ribosomal RNA, 301 nt
Filed under: uncultured bacterium
Lineage: Bacteria
Description: partial 16S ribosomal RNA
Rfam family: Bacterial small subunit ribosomal RNA
Source: RNAcentral